AGAAUUUCUGAAUAUUGAUUUUUGCUAAAACCAAAUGCUGCCUUCAGAUAAUAAAAUAAGACGAUGCUGAUGCCGGACAUCCCCAACUCAUAGAAAAAGGAAACAAAAGAAAUGCCUCUAAGUGUAUGGCUGCUAAAGACUAUUGUUGCCGCAUCCUUCAUUGAUUUAUAUCGUGUUUGAAAAACUUUAAUGAUCUUAAUCAAGAAGGUUGAAUCUUGGUCCCUAGCUGGAGUUCGUUCAAUUGUCUCAACUAGAAAGAAUUGCAUAUAAACUGGGCAACUGAUCAAGAGAACAACUGAAACCAGAAAAAUGUACUUCUCAGGAAGAAAACGUGCCAGAACAUUGCCCAAGAGAUGAGAAGCAGAAAAAAGUCCAGUGAUCCAACUAAAUGCUGCAGCCCUCAUGCUUUCUUUAAUAAAAUCUGCCUACCAAAGGGAUGGAAAAUUUGAUCUCAAUAAUAUUCAUUCACGAUUUCAUAUAAAAGAGAAGUAAUUCUUACCGCAUAAGCAACAGAAAUGCAGAAAACACUCCCUUGACUUAUAAUGUAUGAAAUUGUACGAAGUACAUAGAAUGCAUAAACAAAUCCUUUAGAUUGGUUCCAGGCAAACAAAGCUGCAGCAAUAAGAAAUUUGCCAUAAAAACAAUGAAAUCUGCUGCAUAAUCUUGCAAGCAGCAUUAAUUCUUCACAAACAGGAAAGUAGACAUUUGGAAAGCUCAGUAAAUUGUAUAUUUAUUGAGUAAAAAGAUUGCAAAAUUUUUCUUUCACUAAUUACAGAAAUUGAGCUUUGAACAAAAAUUAAAGACAAAUGUUCUCCAUUCUUUGCAAAAGACCUGGAAUUGCACCUUCCACUUUCCUUCUUCACCAAAUACACUGAAAUUUCAUUAACUAGAUUCCAAAGCAUGUUUCAAAAAUUCAAUCUACUCCACAGGCUCAUGAAUCAACUUCCAGACAAGUGACAAUGUGCAUAGUUCACCUUUAUAAUAAAUGACUUCAGAAAGAAAAUUUUAGAUCAUUAUGUAUAUCAUAUAAAUGAUCCUAAUUUCUGACUGAGAAUGCUCUUUCGAGACAUACCAAAAGGAAUAAUGGAUGUGGAUAUAGUAAGAAGUAGAAAUGGUUUACGCCCAGA
RNAcentral lists this unclassified non-coding RNA (1127 nucleotides) under Hevea brasiliensis (rubber tree). The record is from RNAcentral. Lineage: Eukaryota; Viridiplantae; Streptophyta; Magnoliopsida; Malpighiales; Euphorbiaceae.